ACAGAGGAUGGGAUGGUUUGUUCGGGCGCUCCAUUUGGGGUCCAGUCUUGCACUGGGCCCUGGAUGGAGCAUUUCCGAGUGUACGAAAACCGAGGAAAUGUAUGAUAACUGAAACAAAAUUUUGUAGAAAAAGUCUACAAAAACCGAAAUAUAUGAAAUGAGAGGCGUACGAAAAUUGAGGUUUGACUGUACUCACUUUGCUAUAUUUAGUCGGCGUGUAGCUUUCUCGUUUUAUGGCUCUCAGUCAUUUUGCUGCAUUCUUCAUUCUUGGGUGAAGAAAACAUGUUGACUUUGGGUCCUGUAACAUAAUUCCCCUUGCAAUUUGGGACAACACAAUGAUACAGCAUUGUCACAAAAACACUCGCAAACUUAGAUUUUGUGUCAAUAGCCCAUUCAUUCCACAAAUAAUACAAAAAAUUUAGUAAUUCACUUGACAAAAAUCAGUGGUGUGACCUCUUCUGAAUUUCGAUGAAUACUAAAGCAGGUAGGUGACUGACCAUAGGUCAGUCAGACUACCUUUCUUUGGGAAAUCCCUGAUGAUGUUUAAUCCGCCAGGCCUCCUUCUCUCGGUGGCCAUGGUUGAACCCUGAGGCACUCCUGCCUUGGCAUCACCCAGGCACUACUGAAUUCAUUCUGACAGUUAUUGGCUUUAUAAGCUAACAGACGCUUACUUCCUGAUGUGCACAUUCCAUGUGUGACAGGUCUCAGUUCAGGACACCCAUAUACUGGAUCAAUGCUUUCGACUCCUACGAGGGAUGCCUUGAUUGGGAGUGACCAAGGACACAAUGCCCUUGCAUUCGUCAUCUGGAUCCAUCCACCUGUGACAAAAAUUUCAUCUUUUAUCAUCUUUUACGGCACCUGCAAAUCUUGAUAAUUUUAGGUUAUUUAUUAUUCACAUGUCCCUAGUACUAAUUGUAAACUGUUAUUAAUUGCUGAGUAAAUGUAAUUAAAUGUUAACAGAGUAUAAUUAGUAAUCAUCUUUCCACUUUCCCGUUUUUUUUUAUUUUGUUUUAUAUGUCAGCCAUUUUAUUGCUUGGCCAAGGUUAGCCAUUUUAUAGAAUUCUGUUGCUUGGCCAAGGCUGGCAUAUAACAAUGUCCUAUGUUUGAUGCCGUGAAGAGUAUUGCAAAAUUGUUCAUGUACGUAAACAUUUUUUUCAUCGACUAAUGUCAUUCAUUGUUAGUGUGAAGAGUGCGCUGCAGGGAACUUCGUUCUCAAGUGAGGAAGUCUUUGAAUAUCUAUUUAUACUUGAAAGGAUGGCUUAUUAGAAAAUUUCCAAUAAUAACUAAGUGCAUAUUUUUUUGCAAUGUUCUUAAUAUUAAGUAUCUGCAGGUGGUACCAUAAGCUUUUUGUAUAUUAAAGGAAAUAACUAUUGUCACCUGCUUGUGUUCAAAUCCUUCAUGGAAGUGAUCUUCCAAAUAGGCUAGUAAUAUUAUGGUGAAUGUAUUUGCUCUUGGAUCUAAACUGUGUAGGCAUAGUAUUUUCCUUUGUCAAAGGUUUACAAAAAACAUAAUACAAAAUCAAAUAUUUUAUUAUACACUAUACACAUCAUCACAUGGCAACAUUUACUCAUUUCACUGAUGGAAUGACUUAUGAAUAACUUUGUGAACUAUGACAUAUCGGCAAUAAAAUAAUACAUGGGGAGUGUUAAUCCAGAACUAUGUUACACUAAAAUACAAACCUUAAAAAAAGUUUAUAAAAGGAAUGGGCUCUUU
This is a long non-coding RNA of Macrobrachium nipponense, 1713 nucleotides long. RefSeq lists it as uncharacterized. NCBI's taxonomy places the organism in Eukaryota, Metazoa, Arthropoda, Malacostraca, Decapoda, Palaemonidae. The transcript is spliced from 2 exons. The record is from RefSeq and is a predicted model, not a curated record.